Molecule: ribosomal RNA, 372 nt
Filed under: uncultured Rhodoplanes sp.
Lineage: Bacteria; Pseudomonadati; Pseudomonadota; Alphaproteobacteria; Hyphomicrobiales; Nitrobacteraceae
Description: bacterial SSU rRNA
Rfam family: Bacterial small subunit ribosomal RNA
Source: RNAcentral
GAGAGUACACGUGGGAACGUGCCCUUCAGUUCGGAACAACCCAGGGAAACUUGGGCUAAUACCGGAUACGUCCGUAAGGAGAAAGAUUUAUCGCUGAAGGAUCGGACCGCGUCUGAUUAGCUUGUCGGUGAGGUAACGGCUCACCAAGGCGACGAUCAGUAGCUGGUCUGAGAGGAUGAUCAGCCUCACUGGGACUGAGACACGGCCCAGACUCCUACGGGAGGCAGCAGUGGGGAAUAUUGGACAAUGGGCGCAAGCCUGAUCCAGCCAUGCCGCGUGCGUGAUGAAGGCCCUAGGGUUGUAAAGCCCUUUCGGCGGGGAAGAUAAUGACGGUACCCGCAGAAGAAGCCCCGGCUAACUUCGUGCCAGCAG